This 484-nucleotide ribosomal RNA is filed under the name uncultured bacterium. RNAcentral's name for it is "partial 16S ribosomal RNA". It matches the Rfam family "Bacterial small subunit ribosomal RNA", at positions 899 to 1397 of the family's 1533-position model. The record is from RNAcentral.
ACUCAAAUGAAUUGACGGGGGCCCGCACAAGCAGCGGAGCGUGUGGUUUAAUUCGAGGCUACGCGAAGAACCUUACCUAGGCUUGACAUGAUGGUGGUAGGGAAGCGAAAGCGGACCGACCUUCGGGAGCCAUCACAGGUGCUGCAUGGCUGUCGUCAGCUCGUGUCGUGAGAUGUUCGGUUAAGUCCGAAAACGAGCGCAACCCUCGGGGCUAGUUACAGGUGUCUAGCGCGACUGCCCGUGAGAAACGGGAGGAAGGUGGGGAUGACGUCAAGUCAGCAUGGCCUUGAUGCCUAGGGCUACACACACGCUACAAUGGACGGCACAGCAGGGAGCGAACCUGUGAGGGGGAGCGGAUCCAAGAAAGCCGUUCGUAGUUCGGAUUGCAGGCUGCAACCCGCCUGCAUGAAGCUGGAGUUGCUAGUAACCGCAGGUCAGCCACACUGCGGUGAAUACGUUCCCGGGCCUUGUACACACCGCCCGU